UAAAUCCACAUUAAUGAGCAUUAAAUCCACAUUAAUGGGGUGAAAAUGAAGCAGCAAUCCUUUUGUCUUCUCAACUCUCAAUGAUAAAUUUAAAAGGAACAUUUUUUAUCUUUUUUUUCCACCCAAAAAGCCCUUUCAGCACUGCUCAACAAAACCCCCCAGAAAACUCAAAAUGCUGAAGAAAAUAAGAUUUUUCUCCCUGACACCAAAUUCGAGACAAGACCAAAAUUGUCAAAAUAUUUCCCCAACAUCCAAAAAUAUAUAUAUAUAUAUAUUUAAAGAAGAGUAUUUUAACAUCUACCUCCUCAACCAGAACACCUUUUUUAUUUAUUUCUAUAUUUUUUAUUUAUUUUCUAUAUCAAAGAGCAGCUGGCACCACUCAAAUUGUACAUUCAGCUUUUCCUCCCUGUCUGUUUAAUGCUCCUAAAAAUCUCCUUUUAAAAUCACUCAGCUCCAGCAGGAUCUGAUAAAUAAAUAUUAAAACACAGCAAUAUUUCCUGCCCCAAAUUUUUACACAAAAAAAUAAAAUCUGGAGAAUUCACACGCCUCAGCAACCAAAUUUUUUCUCAAUUUUUUUUGGUGUGAUUGUCAAAUAUUUAAUUUUUUUUUGCAUGGAGGAAAACAAGCCAGAAAUGCUCUUCAGAAUGUCUGUGCACAGCAAAAAAAAUAAUUUAAAUGACAAUUAAAAAUGAACCUGACAGCGAAAAAACCACACAGGAGCAGGUUGGGGUUUUUAUUUUCCCUGUCCUGAAUUUUCUCCCUGAUUUUCAGUUCCAUCCCUGCUGUAAUAAAGCACUUACGAGUGGCCUAAGGGGUGUCACAAAAUCGUCCUAAAAGUAGAAAUAAUGGGAUUUUCAUCCUGUGGAUUGUGGGAAUAGCUGGGACCGUGGCCAGGAUGGGUCCAAACUGAGCUCAGCCCCUCUGGGUUUUUUUCCCCUCCCAAUUUUCUCCUUUUUUUGGUUUUUUUUUUUCCAUCCCAAUUUUCUCAUUUUUUUGAGUUUUUUCCAUCCCAAUUUUCUCAUUUUUUUGGGUUUUUUCCAUCCCAAUUUUCUCCUUUUUUUUUGUUUUUUUUCCCAUUCCAAUUUUCUCCUUUUUUUGGGUUUUUUUCCAUCCCAAUUUUCUCAUUUUUUGGUUUUUUUUCCCUCCCAAUUUUCUCAUUUUUUGUUUUUUUUCCCAUCCCAAUUUUCCCAUUUUUUGGGUUUUUUUCCAUCCCAAUUUUCCCAUUUUUUGGUUUUUUUUCCCUCCCAAUUUUCUCCUUUUUUGGGGUUUUUUCCAUCCCAAUUUUCUCCUUUUUUUGGGUUUUUUUCCAUCCCAAUUUUCUCAUUUUUUUGGUUUUUUCCAUCCCAAUUUUCUCAUUUUUUGUUUUUUUUUUUUCAUCCCAAUUUUCUCAUUUUUUGGGUUUUUUUCCAUCCCAAUUUUCUCCUUUUUUUGGGUUUUUUUCCAUCCCAAUUUUCUCCUUUUUUUGGGGUUUUUUCCAUCCCAAUUUUCUCCUUUUUUGGGGUUUGUUCAAUCCCAAUUUUCUCCUUUUUUGGUUUUUUUUCCAUCCCAAUUUUCUCCUUUUUUUGGGUUUUUUUCCAUCCCAAUUUUCUCAUUUUUUGGUUUUUUUUCCAUCCCAAUUUUCUCAUUUUUUUGCGUUUUUUUCCAUCCCAAUUUUCUCCUUUUUUUCCAUCCCAAUUUUCUCCUUUUUUGGUUUUUUUUUCCCUCCCAAUUUUCUCCUUUUUUGUUUUUUUUUCCCAUCCCAAUUUUCUCAUUUUUUGGGUUUUUUUCCAUCCCAAUUUUCUAAUUUUUUUUGUUUUUUUUCCACCCCAAUUUUCCCAUUUUUUGGGUUUUUUUCCAUCCCAAUUUUCUAAUUUUUUUGGGUUUUUUCCAUCCCAAUUUUCUCCUUUUUUGGGUUUUUUUUCCAUCCCAAUUUUCUCAUUUUUUUGGGUUUUUUUCCAUCCCAAUUUUCUCCUUUUUUUGGGGUUUGUUCAAUCCCAAUUGUUUCUCCAUCCCAGUUUUCUCCGCUUUUGGGGUUUUCUCCAUCCCAAUUUUUUCUCCUCGUUUGGGGUUUUUUCCAUUCAAAUUUUCUGCUCUUUUGGGGUUUAUCCCAUCACAAAUUUCUCCUCUUUUUGGGGUUUAUUUCAUCCCAAUUUUCUCCUCUUUUUGGGGUUUGUUCCAUCCCAAAUUUUUCUGCUCUUUUGGGGUUAUUUCCAUCACAAUUUUCCC
Molecule: long non-coding RNA, 2205 nt
Filed under: Zonotrichia albicollis (white-throated sparrow)
Lineage: Eukaryota; Metazoa; Chordata; Aves; Passeriformes; Passerellidae
Description: lncRNA (ENSZALG00000003172.1)
Source: RNAcentral